AGCGAACGCUGGCGGCAGGCCUAACACAUGCAAGUCGAGCGCUCGUAGCAAUACGAGAGCGGCAGACGGGAGAGUAACACGUGGGAACGUACCCUUUGGUUCGGAACAACACAGGGAAACUUGUGCUAAUACCGAAUAAGCCCUUACGGGGAAAGAUUUAUCGCCGAAGGAUCGGCCCGCGUCUGAUUAGCUAGUUGGUGGGGUAAUGGCUCACCAAGGCGACGAUCAGUAGCUGGUCNGAGAGGAUGACCAGCCUCAUUGGGACUGAGACACGGCCCAAACUCCUACGGGAGGCAGCAGUGGGGAAUCUUGCGCAAUGCGCGAAAGCGUGACGCAGCAACGCCGCGUGGGGGGAAGACGGCCUUC
This 366-nucleotide ribosomal RNA is filed under the name uncultured bacterium. RNAcentral's name for it is "bacterial SSU rRNA". It matches the Rfam family "Bacterial small subunit ribosomal RNA", at positions 29 to 419 of the family's 1533-position model. The record is from RNAcentral.